Molecule: long non-coding RNA, 506 nt
Organism: Beta vulgaris subsp. vulgaris (sugar beet)
Lineage: Eukaryota; Viridiplantae; Streptophyta; Magnoliopsida; Caryophyllales; Amaranthaceae
Exons: 3
Source: RefSeq, a predicted model, not a curated record
UUGGGAAAAUAAAAGAAAUCAGCUGCGAUUUUCUCUCAUCAAAAUCCCUGAAAAAUCUCACCUUCUUCCUUGCUCUGCGUCCAUAUGACCAGUUCUACUUUCCUCUAUCCUUGAUUUUCUAAGUUUUGUUUCCAUAUCUUGAGUUAACUAUAUAUUAAUUAAUUAGUUGUUUGGGAACACUGACACGUCCAUGAUUUUUUUCCCUCCAGAUAUUCUCGCAUGUGGAAUUGAGUUCGUAUUUAUGAAAUCAUCUGACAUAUCUCCAUGACGAGUGAAUCUGUCUGAAACAGGGUUGAUUAUUCAUCUUAGCAAAACACAACUCGAUAUGGGUACAAUAUCGACUCUAAUGAUGGCGCAAAUAGAGGAAGUCUACUUGGAGUUAAACUUUUCAUUGAAGUAAGGAAAGGGUAACAUCCUGAACAAAACACCACUAUCAAGAUCGUGGACACCAUUUUACACGACCUGGACUCGGGUAAGUCAGAUGUUUUCUUCGCAGUUGUCAAUGU